UCAUGCACCCUAAUCAGAAAAUCUAUGACUGGGUUUUGUGUACAAUUAGGCAAUAACCUAAUUUCUUGAAAAUUCAGUAAACAAAAGACAAUGGCACUGUCUUCUGCUGAGGCAGAAUACAGAGCAAUGUGCUCUGUGUCAUGUGAGAUAGUAUGGUUAAGACAAUUGUUGGGUGAAUUAGGCAUAAACUCAACUAAUCCACAACCAUAUUUUGUGAUAGCAAAUCUGCAAUAUACAUUGUAAUAACCUGAUUUUUUUUUAAUUUAAAUAGGGUUAUUCCCAAAUUUACUUAAACAUACAAUCAAGAUCCAUAUACCCGAAUGGGCGUACACAACAAAAUCAAAGUACUAGCGAAAACCAAAUAGACUCGAUCUUUAUUUAACUAAUAUCCUAGGAUCCCAUUCAUGUGUGAAACCCUCUGUCCAGUCCAUUCCAACCCGUCCCUUAUUCUGCAAUAAAAUGUCAUUUACAUGGGUAAGUUUCAAAAACUUAGUACGUGAAUAUAUAAUCAAUUUUAUAGUUCAUGAAUUUCUUUUGGGGCAUAUCAGCCCUCCUUGGUUACCAAUAGAAGUUCUUAUGAAUCCCCCUUUCUCCUUUACAUGGGUCAUCGAGUAAACCCUCGCCAUGCCGUCAAACCCCGUCGGGUCAUGUAGCCUCGUCAGGCCCGUUAAGUUCCGUUCAUUUCAUAAUUGGGUUGGUUGUUUGAGGUUAAGUCUCAACUCUAUAGUCUCAACUUAAAGAUCUAAGCAUUUCAUCCCUAAGGAUCUGUAAUUUCGUAUGAUUAGGCAUGAGUGAGGAGAGAUUGAGUGUUCCACUCAAUCCAAAUCUUGAUUUGUAACCUUGGUGGAUCUUCGGUGAAUAGAGAGGAGGUUAGAUUGAGUGUCACCCCGGGGACUUGCUCAAUCUUCUCCUUUCAUCGUUCACCUCUAAAUCCCUAACUUCAAGGUUUGGGUUCCUUUAGGAUUUAACCCGAUGGUGGAUGGGAAUAGUUCAGGUCGAGUACCAUUCCAAGAACUGGCUCGACCCGCCCCUUUCGUUGUCCAUUCCUAAAUUCAUUCGAAUUUAGGGUUAGGGUUCCUUAGGUUUCAUUGAUUUCCCUUUUACACUUUUCGUUAUUAAAUCCAAAGAAAACUCAAAGUUGAAAUAAAACCCGAAAUGUCAUUUAAAUCCUCGAGUAAUGAAACGGUUUGCAUUAGUAAAAAUCAAACUUUUAAAUCGACUAGGUUUUAGUUUAAUUUACCUCUCGUUCGUUAACUCAAACUUUGAAAACAAAACGCAGACCUUUAAAUUUACUCGACCACCACCCUGAAAUAGGCGGUAGGUCUAUAGAGUUGAGACUUAACCUCAAACAACCAACCCAAUUAUUCAGACCCGUCUCUUGAUUUUAUUGGCUAAAAUCAACCAUGUGGGUGUCUAAGGCUUAAGCGUGAGCUUCUAGCCCUAGGGCAGCGCAAAUCCUGAACUUGGAGACCUUAUGGAGCCCAGUCCACGAUUAUAGUCCCGUGUUCAUAAGGAUUUUUUUGCUGUCCAGUAAAUUAAUUUAAAGAACAAAAAUCAGAAACCAACAACUCCAGAGAUUAUCGAGCAAUGAUACUGAAAUAUCAGGCAGAAAAUCAGAAGACAGAAAAUCAGAAAAUCAGAAAAAACAGAAAACAGAAAAACGGAAAAACGGAAAAUAAAAAAAGAAAAACAGAAAACAGUAAACAGUAAACAAACCGAAGAAAGAAAAGAAGAAAACCUUAACUUCCCUUGAACCAAAAAAAAACAAUCGAACAACAACUUUGUUGUACGAAAACAGGCCCCAAAUCCUCCAAUGGAGAUACAAUCCGUAAACCAAAAAUCAUUCAUAUUCUUACAUAAUUUCAUUUCAUUUUUAAUAACAAUACUUCAUACUAAAAAAUUUCUAGAAGAAGGAUUGAAUAUAUCCACGUACCUUGAUCUCCUCUUAGUUUUUUCUUCUAACACUUGCAAGCCCUAGCCGAGUCCUUCCUUUCCUCUUCCUUCAAAUUUCCGUCCCUCUCUUUUCUAUUUUUAACACCUCCUAUUUAAAGAUUUAACUCCCUCUUCAAUUUCAUCUAAAUCUUUCCUUUAUCUUUUCCUCAAUCAAUUAAGAAUAUUCUCUUUAAUUGAUUCUUUUGACCCAUUUGCCCCUAUUUUAAAAAUGUUUC
Molecule: long non-coding RNA, 2168 nt
Filed under: Zostera marina
Lineage: Eukaryota; Viridiplantae; Streptophyta; Magnoliopsida; Alismatales; Zosteraceae
Description: long non-coding RNA (ZMAR_LNC000856)
Source: RNAcentral